GAUGAACGCUGGCGGCGUGCCUAAUACAUGCAAGUCGAGCGAACGGACGAGAAGCUUGCUUCUCUGAUGUUAGCGGCGGACGGGUGAGUAACACGUGGAUAAUCUACCUAUAAGACUGGGAUAACUUCGGGAAACCGUAGCUAAUACCGGAUAAUAUUUUGAACCGCAUGGUUUAAAAGUGAAUGACGGUCUUGCUGUCACUUCUAGAUGGAUCCGCGCUGCAUUAGCUAGUUGGUAAGGUAACGGCUUACCAAGGCAACGAUGCAUAGCCGACCUGAGAGGGUGAUCGGCCACCCUGGAACUGAGACACGGCCCAGACACCUAAGGGAGGCAGCAGUAGGGAAUCUUCCGCAAUGGGCGAAAGCCUGACGGAGCAACGCCGCGUGAGUGAUGAAGGUCUUCGGAUCGUAAAACUCUGUUAUUAGGGAAGAACAUAUGUGUAAGUAACUGUGCACAUCUUGACGGUACCUAAUCAGAAAGCCACGGCUAACUACGUG
Molecule: ribosomal RNA, 497 nt
Filed under: uncultured bacterium
Lineage: Bacteria
Description: partial 16S ribosomal RNA
Rfam family: Bacterial small subunit ribosomal RNA
Source: RNAcentral